Molecule: ribosomal RNA, 483 nt
Filed under: uncultured bacterium
Lineage: Bacteria
Description: partial 16S ribosomal RNA
Rfam family: Bacterial small subunit ribosomal RNA
Source: RNAcentral
GACGAACGCUGGCGGCGUGCUUAACACAUGCAAGUCGAACGCUGAAGCUCAGCUUUUGUUGGGUGGAUGAGUGGUGAACGGGUGAGUAACACGUGAGUAACCUGCCCCCUUCUUUGGGAUAGCGCCCGGAAACGGGUGCUAAUACUGGAUAUUCACUGGUCUUCGCAUGGGGGUUGGUGGAAAGGGUUUUUCUGGUGGGGGAUGGGCUCGCGGCCUAUCAGCUUGUUGGUGGGGUGAUGGCCUACCAAGGCUUUGACGGGUAGCCGGCCUGAGAGGGUGACCGGUCACAUUGGGACUGAGAUACGGCCCAGACUCCUACGGGAGGCAGCAGUGGGGAAUAUUGCACAAUGGGCGCAAGCCUGAUGCAGCGACGCCGCGUGAGGGAUGGAGGCCUUCGGGUUGUGAACCUCUUUCGCUCAUGGUCAAGCCGCAACAAUGGUUGUGGUGAGGGUAGUGGGUAAAGAAGCGCCGGCUAACUACGUG